CGGCCACACUGGGACUGAGACACGGCCCAGACUCCUACGGGAGGCAGCAGUAGGGAAUCUUCCGCAAUGGACGAAAGUCUGACGGAGCAACGCCGCGUGAGCGAAGAAGGCCUUCGGGUCGUAAAGCUCUGUUGUUAGGGAAGAACAGGUAACGUAGUAACUGGCGUUACUGUGACGGUACCUAACGAGAAAGCCACGGCUAACUACGUGCCAGCAGCCGCGGUAAUACGUAGGUGGCAAGCGUUGUCCGGAAUUAUU
RNAcentral lists this ribosomal RNA (258 nucleotides) under uncultured bacterium. Its description in RNAcentral is "partial 16S ribosomal RNA". It matches the Rfam family "Bacterial small subunit ribosomal RNA", at positions 305 to 555 of the family's 1533-position model. The record is from RNAcentral.